AUAAGUUAGACCAAGUAACUUAAAAAAGUGAAGCAAUACUUUUGUGAAAGGAGAGCUUGUUCCUGAGUUUUUGAAAAAAACCAAAAAAAAUCUUCGAUGUAGAUGGCUGGACGCUGCUUGCAUGGUUGAUAAUGUAUAUCAAUUUCAUAGCCAGUUCUACUUCGCGAUAAGUACGGAGGUUAAUAAAAUAUGACAAGUGAG
RNAcentral lists this non-coding RNA (201 nucleotides) under unclassified sequences. Its description in RNAcentral is "RT-2 RNA". It matches the Rfam family "RT-2 RNA". Rfam says of the family: Coriobacteriales (Actinobacteria), Clostridiales (Firmicutes). Downstream gene The record is from Rfam by way of RNAcentral.